Molecule: ribosomal RNA, 615 nt
Filed under: uncultured bacterium
Lineage: Bacteria
Description: bacterial SSU rRNA
Rfam family: Bacterial small subunit ribosomal RNA
Source: RNAcentral
AUUCGAUUAGAGUUUGAUUCUGGCUCAGGAUAAACGCUAGCGGCAGGCUUAAUACAUGCAAGUCGAACGGUAACAGAUCCAGCAAUGGGUGCUGACGAGUGGCGCACGGGUGCGUAACACGUAUGCAACCUACCUUUAACUAAGGAAUAGCCCCGAGAAAUCGGGAUUAAUACUUUAUACCAUUAUGAUUAGACAUCUUUUUAUAAUGAAAGCUCCGGCGGUUAAAGAUGGGCAUGCGCGACAUUAGCUAGUUGGUAAGGUAACGGCUUACCAAGGCUACGAUGUCUAGGGGUUCUGAGAGGAUUUUCCCCCACACUGGUACUGAGACACGGACCAGACUCCUACGGGAGGCAGCAGUAAGGAAUAUUGGGCAAUGGACGCAAGUCUGACCCAGCCAUGCCGCGUGCAGGAUGAAUGCCCUAUGGGUUGUAAACUGCUUUUAUACGGGAAAAAACCCUUCGACGUGUCGGAGGCUGAUGGUACCGUAAGAAUAAGGAUCGGCUAACUCCGUGCCAGCAGCCGCGGUAAUACGGAGGAUCCAAGCGUUAUCCGGAUUUAUUGGGUUUAAAGGGUGCGUAGGCGGAAUUGUAAGUCAGUGGUGAAAUCCUACAGCUU